Molecule: long non-coding RNA, 2318 nt
Organism: Candoia aspera
Lineage: Eukaryota; Metazoa; Chordata; Lepidosauria; Squamata; Candoiidae
Exons: 2
Source: RefSeq, a predicted model, not a curated record
UUGAACAGGACCAAGUGCAAAGUUCAACAAACAUCAAUGCACAGGUCUAGCAUGGCUCAGUAAUACUUAUGAAAAAGAGUUUGGAAUAGAAGUUGAUGUCAAACUGAAGACCAUUCAGCAGUGUGAGGUGCCUACAAUAUAGGUGAAUGCAAUUAUAGCAAUGAAAUAGAAAUAAAAUUUCCACAUAAUGGACAGUAAUCAUUCUACUUUUUUCCAUUUUGAUCAGAUUCCACUUCAAGUCCACCACAUUUUAAGAAGGUUUCAGAAAAACUGAGAAAGAGCAAUGAAGAUCAGGAAUCUGGGAAAGAAGCCUAUGAAGAUCGAGUGAAGGAGCUAGAUAUGUUUAGCUGCGAGAAAAGAUGACGGGGUGGGGAGGGGGUGAAGUAUGGUAGCAUUCUUAAAUGCUCAAAAAGUUAAUGCUGAGAAGAUCAAAGCCUGCUUUCUCUUGUUCCAGAGUACAGGGUAUGGAAUACUGGAUUUACAUUUAAAGAAAAGCAGGCUUAAAUGUAUUGUUAGAAAUAAGUUUAUAAUUAAGGGCAGUUCAGUGAAGCUCAGAGAGAUGGUUGCCUCCCCUUCAUUGGAUGUGUUUCAAGCCAUCUGGGAUGCUUUAUUUGGAUUUCUGUAUUGAACAGAAAGCUGGGCACUGCUUAAAUGCCUUCUUCCAAUGCUGAUUCUAUUAUUCUAGUCUUGGCCCAAGAAAACUGUCUUAAUUCAUAAAGUACGGCAUGAUAUAUGGCUAAGACUAGAAUGCAGACCUCCUGUUCCAGUGUUAAAUUGGCAGUGAUGAGUAUGAGAAUUAAAAAGAGGACUAGAAUUUUAUUUCUUAAAAGAGAUUCAUGUAUUUUGCAUUUAAAAGAAAAAGCUCAAACAAGAGAAGCACAUUUGAUAAGCAGAUGAAUGAACUAGAACAUUUGUGAGCAAAUCUACAUGAGCAAGAUUGCAGCAUAAGCUGGCCAGAAUCUAUGGGAGUGGGCAGCCAUAAGCAAUUUAAAUAAAUAAAUAAAUAAAAACUGAGCGGGGUGAUUAGCUAGCCCAGUUUCACAGCUGUCAAGCAAAAAUGAAAAGUCUCUGUCAGAUCAGAAGUACGUGGCAACAAGUAGUUCAGGCACGGUCUGCUCCUUUUGUCCAUCUGUGAGAAAGAAGUCAAGUACUACCCCUUUAAUCUAUUUGCCCAGUUAAAUGACAGCCAUGAUGGCCAAUAUAUGAGGUGUGCUACCCAAAGAGAGAACUGUAGAAGGAACUUCCUGGCUCAGUCUGAAUCCAAUGUUUGAUCUACUGCCUUGGAGCAGGGACUGCUUCCAUAGAAAAUAAUUGAAAAAUAGGUAGCUAUGAUUGGGGAGUAAUGUAUCCAAUCCCAGCCUGCAGGUAGCAGCAGUAACAGGAAUUCAUAUACUUUAGUUUGCAUUCUGGAAGGAAUUUCAGUUUUUUGUGAUAGUCCAUUGAUAGAGAACUGCAGUUCAUAUUUACAUGCUUGGGAAGAGGUGUUUGGCUUGAUGAAUCUGAUGGGAAGAAAUAGCUUGCAGUUUAGAGUGCAGCUGGUGAAAGGGAGAGGAACACUUUGCAGCUGGCUAGCGAAAACUAGCUGUGAGGAACAGCUACGAUAUGAUGCUUUGGGGGAAAAGGUACACUUUUAAACUACCUGUUUCCUUUUAUAUUAUAAAAAGAUGAUACGUCUCCAGCAUUUUAUUCCCUUAAUGGUGUAAUCAUAAUGUUGAUGCACCUAAACAGCAUUGCGAAAGAGUGCAUUUUAAAGGCCUCUGUAGGAAAUGCUCUUCCUGUAUUCCAAGUAACACACACGUUUCGCUGGCUAUCGUUGAACAAACUCUCAGAGUACCACAGUUUGGAUCAAAAUCAGGGAGACCAUUUAAUAUACAAUACUGCUCUGGUUUUCAGCAGGGCAUUUGGGGACAAAGGACCCUAAAAUAUAGAUAGCUCAUUAAAAGGCAUUAACUAUUUCUUUUCAUAUUCCUUUGGUCAAGAUCCAAUUCCAAAGUUUUAAUCACUAACAAAUAUAUUUGAUUAACAGGAAAAACAAAGCAGGCAGGUUCAAAAUCCAUUGAAAACCAUUUGUUUCCAAUUUUCCCUAGUUUGGUCUUAAAAGACACAGGUUCUUUGUAGAAAAGGGAAAUGGACUUCCCUCUUUGGGGCAAGCUUUUUUUGGGGAGUUCCAGAAGCCUUACCUUCUUCCUAGGAAGUAGUCAGAUCUUAUGAUGUGGUGAAACUGUAAUGCUUUGCUUCAGUGUUUUAGCUACAAGAAGUUUUUGACAAAAGUUCUAUAUAGUUUCUUCUUUGAAUCUGAAAUAAAAUGGCACGAUUCG